CCCCUCCGGGGUCCGAGUUGUAAUUUGCAGAGGAUGCUUCGGGUGCGGCCCCUGUCUAAGUGCCCUGGAACGGGCCGUCAGAGAGGGUGAGAAUCCCGUCUUGGGCAGGGUGCCCGUGCCCGUGUGAAGCUCCUUCGACGAGUCGAGUUGUUUGGGAAUGCAGCUCUAAAUGGGUGGUAAAUUUCAUCUAAAGCUAAAUACCGGCCGGAGACCGAUAGCGCACAAGUAGAGUGAUCGAAAGAUGAAAAGCACUUUGAAAAGAGAGUUAAACAGCACGUGAAAUUGUUGAAAGGGAAGCGCUUGCGACCAGACUCGGCCCCGGGGUUCAGCCAGCACUCGUGCUGGUGUACUUCCCCGGGGGCGGGCCAGCGUCGGUUUGGGCGGCCGGUCAAAGGCCCCAGGAAUGUGUCGCCCUCCGGGGCGUCUUAUAGCCUGGGGUGCAAUGCGGCCAGCCCGGACCGAGGAACGCGCUUCGGCACGGACGCUGGCGUAAUGGUCGCAAAC
Molecule: ribosomal RNA, 504 nt
Filed under: Aspergillus ustus
Lineage: Eukaryota; Fungi; Ascomycota; Eurotiomycetes; Eurotiales; Aspergillaceae
Description: eukaryotic LSU rRNA
Rfam family: Eukaryotic large subunit ribosomal RNA
Source: RNAcentral